CCUACGGGUGGCAGCAGUGAGGAAUAUUGGUCAAUGGCCGGAAGGCUGAACCAGCCAUGCCGCGUGAAGGUCAGUGCCCUAUGGGCGUUAAACUUCUUUUGUGCGGGAGCAAUAAUGGUCACGUGUGGCCAGACGAGAGUACCGUACGAAUAAGCAUCGGCUAACUUCGUGCCAGCAGCCGCGGUAAUACGGGGGGUGCAAGCGUUAUCCGGAGUUAUUGGGUUUAAAUGGUGCGUAGGCUGUGAGGUAAGUCAGCGGUGAAAUGCCUCCGCUCAACGGGGUGAAGUGCCAUUGAUACUGCCUUGCGGGAAUGCGGAUGCCGUAGGAGGAAUGUGUGGUGUAGCGGUGAAAGGCAUAGAUAUCACGCAGAACACCGAUUGCGAAGGCAUCUCACGAAUCCGCGAUUGACGCUGAUGCACGAAAGCGUGGGUAUCAAACAGGAUUAGAUACCCUGGUAGUC
This 460-nucleotide ribosomal RNA is filed under the name uncultured bacterium. RNAcentral's name for it is "partial 16S ribosomal RNA". It matches the Rfam family "Bacterial small subunit ribosomal RNA", at positions 338 to 795 of the family's 1533-position model. The record is from RNAcentral.